GGCCAGCACCAUACCACCCUGCAUUCCACUGCUGGCUUGCUUCUGAAGCUAAGCAGGUUUGGUCCUGGAUGGGAGACCAGAUGCUGCUGGAAGUGGUUU
Ribosomal RNA from Hucho hucho (huchen), 99 nucleotides. NCBI's taxonomy places the organism in Eukaryota, Metazoa, Chordata, Actinopteri, Salmoniformes, Salmonidae. The record is from Ensembl.